RNAcentral lists this transfer RNA (71 nucleotides) under Heterocephalus glaber (naked mole-rat). It matches the Rfam family "tRNA". Rfam says of the family: Transfer RNA (tRNA) molecules are approximately 80 nucleotides in length. Their secondary structure includes four short double-helical elements and three loops (D, anti-codon, and T loops). The record is from Rfam by way of RNAcentral. Lineage: Eukaryota; Metazoa; Chordata; Mammalia; Rodentia; Bathyergidae.
AAGGAUGUAGCUCAGUGGUAGAGUGCUUGCCUAGCAUUCUGAGCCCCCAGGUACAAUCCCCAGCAUCCUUA